AAUGGAGUCUCUGAUGGGGACAUGAUAUGAAUGUACUGACACAGGUUGAGAGCAGGACAUGAUGCAAAUCUUUAGAGCUGCCCCCAUUGGACCUCUAAGGUGUCUGAGACUCCGGGCCCCUUCAUCAGCCACGGUGGAUUCUACGGCUGGCUCGGGUCCACCGUGCCCCUCCUCCAAUCGGUCAUCGAGGGGGUCUUCUAAACCAUGGCAAAAACCCUGUACUCUCCUGGAGCACGAGUACAGGAUAUUACACGGCUGCUUCCUGCCGUUCUACAACAGCUGCCGGGGCUGACGCUGUCGUAGUCCAUGUGGGGUCAAACAACAUUAGGAGGGCUGAAAAUGUAUUUUAAAGGACUGAUUCUAGCUCUGAAAGAUUCAAAUUAUUUCAGUCUUUUUGGUUUUUGCUCUGACAUGCACUGUCAACUGUGGGACCUUAU
This is a long non-coding RNA of Oncorhynchus gorbuscha (pink salmon), 437 nucleotides long. RefSeq lists it as uncharacterized. The record is from RefSeq and is a predicted model, not a curated record. NCBI's taxonomy places the organism in Eukaryota, Metazoa, Chordata, Actinopteri, Salmoniformes, Salmonidae. The transcript is spliced from 3 exons.